AUGCCCAAAAAUACACAUUUCUGGUAAGGAGAAGAGAAAUCCCCCCGAGCCCUCUCUCCAAGUUGCUGCAUUGGGAUGGUGACAAAUUUCAAUGGCAAAAGCCAGGAGUGCAGUAAAUCUGACAGGACUGGCAGCAUCCCAUCGGGAACCGGCUGUGCCCAAAACACCAAAAUCAUCAUCUCAUGCUUUUGUGCAGGCACCUGGGGAACCCCCUGGGCCAAGAGGCAGCAGCACUGUGUGGUGCCACCAGGGCGAGUUGAUGUGUUCAGGCUGUUUAAGGCCAUCAGGCAACGAGAGAUCAAUGGCUGUGCAGUUACAGAUGAACAGGAGACAGUGAUAUGCUGGUGGUGUUGCUUUGUCAGCAAGUAAAGAGGGAAGAUGAGCCGGGAAGCAAUGGGGGAGCCUCUGGACCCUGCAUGGGGAAUGGGAGAUCUCAGGGUCCUCUGCCACGGAUUCUCAGAGAACAAAUAAACAGGGGAAAAUCUCCUAAGAGCUGAAGCCUUAUUAAGAUCUUAAAAGCAAAUCAAGUUUUUCACAAGCUGCAGGAAAAGAAGCCAGCUAAGUGUUCUCCAGGUGAAAUUAGGGAAGAUUUUUCUGCCAGAAAGUUAUUGCUGAGGACAGCAUGAACACAGUUACAGAGCCAGGCUUGGGCUGAGAGGGACAUCUGUACUCUGGAUAAAACAGAGCAGCUCUUCCUCACAAGGUAGGAGGGGAAAGGGAAUCUUCAGCAAUAUCAAAGCAUCUGGCUGAGGGGAUGUCAGCUGUUUUGUUUUCAGGAUGCAGCACUCUUUCCCUGGGAUGAAAAGAAUUCAGUAUAAUAUUAACUGAUGUGCAGUGAAAUGAACCACAGGAAUACAAACAAAGUGGCUUUUUCCAUAUCAAGAUGAGACAUUUCAGUGCUGUGGAAACCAUGGUGCUGUUGGUGAAAAAUAUCAACAAGUGACACAGGCAAACUG
Long non-coding RNA from Neopelma chrysocephalum (saffron-crested tyrant-manakin), 956 nucleotides. RefSeq lists it as uncharacterized. Lineage: Eukaryota; Metazoa; Chordata; Aves; Passeriformes; Pipridae. The record is from RefSeq and is a predicted model, not a curated record. The transcript is spliced from 3 exons.